CCUNCGGGAGGCNCCAGUAAGGAAUAUUGGCCAAUGGGGCAAGCCUGAUCCAGCCAUGCCGCGUGAAGGAUUAAGGUCCUCUGGAUUGUAAACUUCUUUUAUAUGGGACGAAAAAAGGGAAUUCUUUCUCACUUGACGGUACCAUAUGAAUAAGCACCGGCUAACUCCGUGCCAGCAGCCGCGGUAAUACGGAGGGUGCAAGCGUUAUCCGGAUUCACUGGGUUUAAAGGGUGCGUAGGCGGGUAUGUAAGUCAGUGGUGAAAUCUCGGAGCUUAACUCCGAAACUGCCAUUGAUACUAUAUAUCUUGAAUAUUGUGGAGGUUUGCGGAAUAUGUCAUGUANCGGUGAAAUGCUUAGAUAUGACAUAGAACACNNNUUGNGAAGGCAGCAGGCUACACAUAUAUUGACGCUGAGGCACGAAAGCGUGGGGAUCAAACAGGAUUAGAUACCCUGGUAGUCCACGCCCUAAACGAUGGAUACUCGACAUACGCGAUACACAGUGUGUGUCUGAGCGAAAGCAUUAAGUAUCCCACCUGGAAGUACUCCUCCAAGGNACANUNNA
RNAcentral lists this ribosomal RNA (562 nucleotides) under uncultured Bacteroidota bacterium. RNAcentral describes it as "bacterial SSU rRNA". It matches the Rfam family "Bacterial small subunit ribosomal RNA", at positions 338 to 903 of the family's 1533-position model. Lineage: Bacteria; Pseudomonadati; Bacteroidota. The record is from RNAcentral.